UUCGGUUUUUAAUUUUCUGUGUUGUGUUUUUAUUUUGGUCAUUUUCCAUUUUUUUUUUGUUAUAGCUUUGCCAGGUUGUCUUGGACUUAUGAGUUUAAAUUACCAAUUGCUAAAUUCCACAUCUCUUUUCUAUAGAUAAAUUAAUAGUCUGGUUCACGCUUUGCCAUUAAAAAAACCAUAAACGUCAUUCAAAUUAUAUAUAAGGAGGUAGACACUUAUGUAAGGUACUGCAGAUUCACCGAGAGUCAAUGAAAU
Molecule: long non-coding RNA, 255 nt
Filed under: Mytilus galloprovincialis (Mediterranean mussel)
Lineage: Eukaryota; Metazoa; Mollusca; Bivalvia; Mytilida; Mytilidae
Source: RNAcentral